Molecule: ribosomal RNA, 197 nt
Filed under: uncultured bacterium
Lineage: Bacteria
Description: partial 16S ribosomal RNA
Rfam family: Bacterial small subunit ribosomal RNA
Source: RNAcentral
ACGCUCGACACCUACGGGAGCAGCAGUGGGGAAUAUUGCACAAUGGGGGAAACCCUGAUGCAGCGAUGCCGCGUGAAGGAAGAAGUAUCUCGGUAUGUAAACUUCUAUCAGCAGGGAAGAAAAUGACGGUACCUGACUAAGAAGCCCCGGCUAACUACGUACCAGCAGCCGCGGUAAUCUGAGCGGGCUGGCAAGGC